This 2898-nucleotide ribosomal RNA is filed under the name Escherichia coli. RNAcentral describes it as "bacterial LSU rRNA". It matches the Rfam family "Bacterial large subunit ribosomal RNA". Lineage: Bacteria; Pseudomonadati; Pseudomonadota; Gammaproteobacteria; Enterobacterales; Enterobacteriaceae. The record is from RNAcentral.
UUAAGCGACUAAGCGUACACGGUGGAUGCCCUGGCAGUCAGAGGCGAUGAAGGACGUGCUAAUCUGCGAUAAGCGUCGGUAAGGUGAUAUGAACCGUUAUAACCGGCGAUUUCCGAAUGGGGAAACCCAGUGUGAUUCGUCACACUAUCAUUAACUGAAUCCAUAGGUUAAUGAGGCGAACCGGGGGAACUGAAACAUCUAAGUACCCCGAGGAAAAGAAAUCAACCGAGAUUCCCCCAGUAGCGGCGAGCGAACGGGGAGGAGCCCAGAGCCUGAAUCAGUGUGUGUGUUAGUGGAAGCGUCUGGAAAGGCGCGCGAUACAGGGUGACAGCCCCGUACACAAAAAUGCACAUGCUGUGAGCUCGAUGAGUAGGGCGGGACACGUGGUAUCCUGUCUGAAUAUGGGGGGACCAUCCUCCAAGGCUAAAUACUCCUGACUGACCGAUAGUGAACCAGUACCGUGAGGGAAAGGCGAAAAGAACCCCGGCGAGGGGAGUGAAAAAGAACCUGAAACCGUGUACGUACAAGCAGUGGGAGCCUCUUUAUGGGGUGACUGCGUACCUUUUGUAUAAUGGGUCAGCGACUUAUAUUCUGUAGCAAGGUUAACCGAAUAGGGGAGCCGAAGGGAAACCGAGUCUUAACUGGGCGUUAAGUUGCAGGGUAUAGACCCGAAACCCGGUGAUCUAGCCAUGGGCAGGUUGAAGGUUGGGUAACACUAACUGGAGGACCGAACCGACUAAUGUUGAAAAAUUAGCGGAUGACUUGUGGCUGGGGGUGAAAGGCCAAUCAAACCGGGAGAUAGCUGGUUCUCCCCGAAAGCUAUUUAGGUAGCGCCUCGUGAACUCAUCUCCGGGGGUAGAGCACUGUUUCGGCAAGGGGGUCAUCCCGACUUACCAACCCGAUGCAAACUGCGAAUAUCGGAGAAUGUUAUCACGGGAGACACACGGCGGGUGCUAACGUCCGUCGUGAAGAGGGAAACAACCCAGACCGCCAGCUAAGGUCCCAAAGUCAUGGUUAAGUGGGAAACGAUGUGGGAAGGCCCAGACAGCCAGGAUGUUGGCUUAGAAGCAGCCAUCAUUUAAAGAAAGCGUAAUAGCUCACUGGUCGAGUCGGCCUGCGCGGAAGAUGUAACGGGGCUAAACCAUGCACCGAAGCUGCGGCAGCGACGCUUAUGCGUUGUUGGGUAGGGAGCGUUCUGUAAGCCUGUGAAGGUGUGCUGUGAGGCAUGCUGGAGGUAUCAGAAGUGCGAAUGCUGACAUAAGUAACGAUAAAGCGGGUGAAAAGCCCGCUCGCCGGAAGACCAAGGGUUCCUGUCCAACGUUAAUCGGGGCAGGGUGAGUCGACCCCUAAGGCGAGGCCGAAAGGCGUAGUCGAUGGGAAACAGGUUAAUAUUCCUGUACUUGGUGUUACUGCGAAGGGGGGACGGAGAAGGCUAUGUUGGCCGGGCGACGGUUGUCCCGGUUUAAGCGUGUAGGCUGGUUUUCCAGGCAAAUCCGGAAAAUCAAGGCUGAGGCGUGAUGACGAGGCACUACGGUGCUGAAGCAACAAAUGCCCUGCUUCCAGGAAAGCCUCUAAGCAUCAGGUAACAUCAAAUCGUACCCCAAACCGACACAGGUGGUCAGGUAGAGAAUACCAAGGCGCUUGAGAGAACUCGGGUGAAGGAACUAGGCAAAAUGGUGCCGUAACUUCGGGAGAAGGCACGCUGAUAUGUAGGUGAAGUCCCUCGCGGAUGGAGCUGAAAUCAGUCGAAGAUACCAGCUGGCUGCAACUGUUUAUUAAAAACACAGCACUGUGCAAACACGAAAGUGGACGUAUACGGUGUGACGCCUGCCCGGUGCCGGAAGGUUAAUUGAUGGGGUCAGCGCAAGCGAAGCUCUUGAUCGAAGCCCCGGUAAACGGCGGCCGUAACUAUAACGGUCCUAAGGUAGCGAAAUUCCUUGUCGGGUAAGUUCCGACCUGCACGAAUGGCGUAAUGAUGGCCAGGCUGUCUCCACCCGAGACUCAGUGAAAUUGAACUCGCUGUGAAGAUGCAGUGUACCCGCGGCAAGACGGAAAGACCCCGUGAACCUUUACUAUAGCUUGACACUGAACAUUGAGCCUUGAUGUGUAGGAUAGGUGGGAGGCUUAGAAGUGUGGACGCCAGUCUGCAUGGAGCCGACCUUGAAAUACCACCCUUUAAUGUUUGAUGUUCUAACGUUGACCCGUAAUCCGGGUUGCGGACAGUGUCUGGUGGGUAGUUUGACUGGGGCGGUCUCCUCCUAAAGAGUAACGGAGGAGCACGAAGGUUGGCUAAUCCUGGUCGGACAUCAGGAGGUUAGUGCAAUGGCAUAAGCCAGCUUGACUGCGAGCGUGACGGCGCGAGCAGGUGCGAAAGCAGGUCAUAGUGAUCCGGUGGUUCUGAAUGGAAGGGCCAUCGCUCAACGGAUAAAAGGUACUCCGGGGAUAACAGGCUGAUACCGCCCAAGAGUUCAUAUCGACGGCGGUGUUUGGCACCUCGAUGUCGGCUCAUCACAUCCUGGGGCUGAAGUAGGUCCCAAGGGUAUGGCUGUUCGCCAUUUAAAGUGGUACGCGAGCUGGGUUUAGAACGUCGUGAGACAGUUCGGUCCCUAUCUGCCGUGGGCGCUGGAGAACUGAGGGGGGCUGCUCCUAGUACGAGAGGACCGGAGUGGACGCAUCACUGGUGUUCGGGUUGUCAUGCCAAUGGCACUGCCCGGUAGCUAAAUGCGGAAGAGAUAAGUGCUGAAAGCAUCUAAGCACGAAACUUGCCCCGAGAUGAGUUCUCCCUGACUCCUUGAGAGUCCUGAAGGAACGUUGAAGACGACGACGUUGAUAGGCCGGGUGUGUAAGCGCAGCGAUGCGUUGAGCUAACCGGUACUAAUGAACCGUGAGGCUUAACCU